UAAAUAUUUAUUUUUGUCUGUGUACUAAAUCUUAGUAAAGGCUUUUCACUCAGCCUUAUCAUAAAAUUUAGAUUUUUGUUGUGUUUCAAAAUUCUUUACUAGACAGCUAUAAAAGCAAAAAACUAUUUUAAUUUCGAAUCAUUACAAUUCAAAAUUUUGUCAGUGAACUAAACACAAAAUGCGUUUCCUCGCUAUUCUUAUCGCCGUUGUCAUGGCUAUUGUUUUGGUUUCGGCCGAUCCAUGCAUGAAACCAUGUGCCAGAAAUUUUGACUUUGUUUGUGGACAAUUUCCCGAUGGUACCAAAAAGGCCUUCUCCAAUCCUUGUGUAAUGGAAAUUGAAGCUUGCCAGAAAGGCGUUGAAAUUACUCAAUUACACCGCGGAACUUGCGAUAAGCCAGUAUAUGAAUAGAAACUUAAACAGUGCUUGUGAUUUUGUGGAUUAUGACUUGAUUAAUGAAUAUGUUAGUGAAAACUUAAGCUCGGUAAUAAAUUGUUUAACAAUAUAUUAAGAAA
Musca domestica (house fly) is the source of this 513-nucleotide long non-coding RNA. RefSeq lists it as uncharacterized. NCBI's taxonomy places the organism in Eukaryota, Metazoa, Arthropoda, Insecta, Diptera, Muscidae. The record is from RefSeq and is a predicted model, not a curated record. The transcript has 2 exons.